RNAcentral lists this long non-coding RNA (1336 nucleotides) under Oryctolagus cuniculus (rabbit). RNAcentral describes it as "lncRNA (ENSOCUG00000033129.1)". The record is from RNAcentral. Lineage: Eukaryota; Metazoa; Chordata; Mammalia; Lagomorpha; Leporidae.
AUGCAAACUGUCUCAGUCAACAACGCCAAGACUGCGGACUCCUCCUCCAGUCCCAUGGCCACAGGGUUACUAAUAAAUCUCCCCUUGUCCAAGUGUGUAUGCCGGAUAACUGCACGCCACACCGAGAACAUCAGCAUUCUAUCAAGUCAAGCCAUCUUCACUGCGUUCCAGCCCUGCGCCAGGCACUGUGCCAAGCCGUCUGUACGGGACUAUUCCUUCUUCCCCGAGUUUUCACCUAACUUCUGCUCUUUCCUCAGGGAGAUUUCCCAGCGCUCUCAGUUAGUUAGGUUAUCCAUGAAGUGAAUGUCAAUGUUAGGUAAGACACGUAAGAGAUUUAUGGGUGGGGACUGCAUUGCUGGAGGAAAAAGGGCAAGAACCAAGAGUAGACAGAGAAAGCGUCAAAUUUCCAUGCAGGUCUGAGAUCUACUGAAGAGGAGGAAGUCAGAACCGGAAGGGCAAAGAAUGCAGCCAGGCCCAUGCCGAGUUCUCAGGCUAGAAGUGCCCGUUAGAGAAGUUCCUCACCUUGCCUAAACUGCCUGGCACCAGGUCUGGUCAUCAGCUGGCUGGAGCUCGGGAGAAGCAUGUGUGGCCUUAGCCCUACGCAUGGUGGAAGUCCAGAGAGGCAGUCCGCUGUGCUCUCCAAACAUGAGUCCUGCAUAUCCAUGGCCAUCAUGCCCUCCAGAGUGAGUGAGAGUUCCUAAGUUACUUGCUCUUAAAGCAACAAGUGUUUUCUUUUUCUCAGCAGCAUUAAAAUUUAAAUUUUGCUUUAGCCAUUUUAAAGGUUAUGCUCUCUCUCUGAAUGGUAAGCUGCAUCAGGGAAGCUGCCUAGUUAUCACUGCAUCCCAAGACACACAAGAUGAGAUGGCACACAGUACGUACCACAUACAAUAGUCACCAUUUUUAUCCAUUCGCUAUUCUGUUCCAUUCAUUACUACAUUCAAGCUGGCUUCACACUGCAAUUAAAAACCACAGAUCCCAGAGCUCAAUGUUAUUUCUUCUGGAGCAUCUUAGUUUUUAUAUAUUAGCCAAGCGUAACCCAAAGUGAUGAAGUUGAAGAUGGACUUUUAGGACUGUAUUAAUGUACAUUCAUGCAGAGAUAAAGAGUCCUAUUGUAGGUUAUUUCCAAUUUCCUGAGUGAGUGUACUCUGGUGCCUGCUCUCUUCUGGGCUGAGAUUCCUGUAGCCUGGUGAUCGUGUCUCUCUAAAUAACCUGCUUCCUCAAUCCCAUCUCCUUGCCAGAAAGUAACAUUUCUCAGAUGAUGUAGUAUAAAGUAUUGGGAAAAGGGAAUGGGACAUAAACUAAUAAAGCCAGGAUGAAGGGACCUAGGAAGAGCUGC